AGACCCGAAACCCGGUGAUCUAGCCAUGGGCAGGUUGAAGGUUGGGUAACACUAACUGGAGGACCGAACCGACUAAUGUUGAAAAAUUAGCGGAUGACCUGUGGCUGGGGGUGAAAGGCCAAUCAAACCGGGAGAUAGCUGGUUCUCCCCGAAAGCUAUUUAGGUAGCGCCUCGUGAAUUCAUCUCCGGGGGUAGAGCACUGUUUCGGCUAGGGGGCCAUCCCGGCUUACCAACCCGAUGCAAACUGCGAAUACCGGAGAAUGUUAUCACGGGAGACACACGGCGGGUGCUAACGUCCGUCGUGAAGAGGGAAACAACCCAGACCGCCAGCUAAGGUCCCAAAGUCAUGGUUAAGUGGGAAACGAUGUGGGAAGGCCCAGACAGCCAGGAUGUUGGCUUAGAAGCAGCCAUCAUUUAAAGAAAGCGUAAUAGCUCACUGGUCGAGUCGGCCUGCGCGGAAGAUGUAACGGGGCUAAACCAUGCACCGAAGCUGCGGCAGCGACACUGUGUGUUGUUGGGUAGGGGAGCGUUCUGUAAGCCUGUGAAGGUGUGUCGUGAGGCAUGCUGGAGGUAUCAGAAGUGCGAAUGCUGACAUAAGUAACGAUAAAGCGGGUGAAAAGCCCGCUCGCCGGAAGACCAAGGGUUCCUGUCCAACGUUAAUCGGGGCAGGGUGAGUCGACCCCUAAGGCGAGGCCGAAAGGCGUAGUCGAUGGGAAACGGGUUAAUAUUCCCGUACUUGGUGUUACUGCGAAGGGGGGACGGAGAAGGCUAUGUUGGCCGGGCGACGGUUGUCCCGGUUUAAGCGUGUAGGUGUGUGUUCCAGGUAAAUCCGGUUCACUUUAACACUGAGGCGUGACGACGAGGCACUACGGUGCUGAAGCAACAAAUGCCCUGCUUCCAGGAAAAGCCUCUAAGCAUCAGGUAACAUCAAAUCGUACCCCAAACC
Molecule: ribosomal RNA, 946 nt
Filed under: Salmonella enterica
Lineage: Bacteria; Pseudomonadati; Pseudomonadota; Gammaproteobacteria; Enterobacterales; Enterobacteriaceae
Description: partial 23S ribosomal RNA
Rfam family: Bacterial large subunit ribosomal RNA
Source: RNAcentral